RNAcentral lists this long non-coding RNA (1544 nucleotides) under Cyanistes caeruleus (blue tit). Its description in RNAcentral is "lncRNA (ENSCCEG00000017859.1)". The record is from RNAcentral. Lineage: Eukaryota; Metazoa; Chordata; Aves; Passeriformes; Paridae.
CUGUAUUGCACACAGACAUAGUUUCAUCCAGCUUUAAAUUAAAAAAAAAUUAAAUUUUUUAAAUUUAAAAAUCCUUUUAAAUUAUCUUUUACUUUCCCUGCAGGUCUGCAGUCCUUUGAAGUGAUUUUGUAGUUUCCUUACCAGGGAACAGUGAGGUCCAGGGUCACCUCUGUCAUUUGUAGGAAAAACAACUUCUGUCACCCAGGAAAGUCUUAAAUGGAGGAAUUAAAAGAAUGCAUCUUUCAUGGUGGAGAAAAGUGUAAAGAAACAUGAGUAUCCCUAUAUGGACUGGUCAUUUGGGAUCCGUUUUCUGGUGUAUGGGGAAAAGGCACAUUUGGGGCCAUGCAGGUCCUUUGCCCCAUUCUGCACUGAGGAGAAGAUGAGCCAUGUUAUGGAAAUGCCCACUUCUUCAAGGGAAUUCAGGGAAGGAAUUGGCUCAGGAGCAGUCCAUCAGCCUUCUUUUUUUUGCAAGAUUCCAAUCUGUUAUGCCCAAAGCCCUCCUCACUGUUUUUCAUACUCAAGCUGUCGCUGGCUGGAUACUUGAAGCAUUUCCCAUGUCUAUUGCAGUAGUGUUCUGCUGUAAUUGCUGAAUUUCAGAGGAAAACGUAGAAUUUCUUUUGACUCCCAUGUUGUUUCCUGGUACAUAAAAUACAAAAGAUAAUAAUUUUCACUGUAAUUCUUUUGGCUCGUGGAGGUCAUCAAAGUGUCUUUUACCAUAGGAGGAAGUGUUUCAUGACAUCCAAAGACACUGUAACAAAAUAGUAGGAAUGAGCUGGUGACUCCAGCUCAGAUGGAGGGGGACAGACCCUGGAAACUUGCAGCCCUUACACAUCUUUAUUUUACACAAUGUAGCUCUACAGUUGUAUUAUUCAUAUAAACUCGUGGUGCUUUUUGGAUUUGUCCAGGAAGCUUAAGACACUGUGUACAACUCUUUCCCAUUUAUUUUGCAUUGUGAGUUUUUAAAGUUCUGGAGGUGCAAAGAUUUUCUUCCUUGUCAACAGAAAUACUUUAUUUGUUGCUUAUAAAGAUUUAAUGCAGAAAGGAUUAUUCUCCCCAAACCUAUGGAAUAUGCUUAUUUGCUGCAGAAAAAAAAUAGCAACAUUUUGGAAACUUCCAACAACUUGUAUUCAAGCCACAAAAGAGCUGCUGCCCUUUCAUGGGCACAAAUUCCUUGGGAAUUUAUCUCUUUUGUCUAAGUGUGUAAAUUGUAACUAAGAUAAUGUUUGUAAGAAAACAACACCCCUGUAUUUGUUAGGUUUAAGCUAAAAAAAAGAAGGCGAAAUUAGAACUAAUUAAGGUUUUAUGCCUUUCCUUGGUUUCCUUAUCCCGGUUUAAGAGAGGGAAAAAAAGCUCACUUGGAAAUAUUUUGUGCAUGGCCAUGAGUAGUUUAGAGUAAUGGUUGAUCUCAUGCAAUUUCCAAAAUUUAUUAGAUCUCUAAUUUCCAGAUAGUUUUACCCUUCACCUAGAAACUCAUGUCCAUAACCAUAUAGGAGGGAUCCAUUUAAUAUUACAAGUAAUAGAUUUUCUGCCACUCCAAGAUUUAA